Long non-coding RNA from Taeniopygia guttata (zebra finch), 8198 nucleotides. RefSeq lists it as uncharacterized. NCBI's taxonomy places the organism in Eukaryota, Metazoa, Chordata, Aves, Passeriformes, Estrildidae. The record is from RefSeq and is a predicted model, not a curated record.
CUUAAAAUAACAAAAAAGGAAGUAAGUGGAUUGACUCACAGCCCCAUGUUUUCCCACAAACUGGGGGAUGUUUUUAGUUUAUAGGAGCAAGUAAAUAAAACCCAAAUUAAAAUAAUAGCUGGACUCAAUGGUAUAAAUCCACAUAGCAGUAUUAACUUAAAUACUGCUAUUUCUAGGCCAGGUAGUACUUGGUAGAGAUAAUAUCUCAUUAACACUGAUACACUAACAAAAUUUACAUUGGUGGUCACAGAAUAUGAACACCUGCACACGUGUAGGACUUACAAACCAGUCAUUAACAGAUGAGAUUCCCAGGGAAAAGAGACUCUAUAUAAUCUGAAGAGCUCUCAAAAAAUGCCUUUGAAAAUCAGAUUAAUAAAAUCAAACCCUACCACUCCACCUGUUCAUGGCCCAGCCACAAAAUUCUUCUUGUCUGUGCUGGGAUCAGUUCUGACUACAGCCAGCCACUGGACCUCUGCCAGCCAUAGCAGAAGCACAGGUCUUCCAGCAGAACAGGCAUCACAGCCACUUCUGUGCUUUUCCCUUUCUUGUCCCCAGACUCCCCCUCACCCCCCUCCCAACAGCUCCUCUGGAUGGGCCAGAGGACAUGGCCAAAGGAAGGGAAGUGCAGCCAAGACUUUGCUAUGCCCCAGCAGCCCCUCUCUGCUGUUGCAGGGUCACUGGCAGCCAGAAUGAUUUAGAGCAGCCUUCAGGCUAUUCUAACUUACAGUGAGGGACUUGACUGACUCAUUGCUGCUCCAGGACUGUGGGAACAUAAAGCUACCUUAAAGCCAUUUCAGUCAUCCCUCUUCUGAGCUGUGCUAUUUUAUCCUUGCCUGUGACUGAAAAAAAACCCUGAGAGUGCAGGUUGUUUACACAUCUUGCAGCUGCAGCAAGUGGUCGUUUCCUUUGCCUUUCUUCUGCCUUUAUUUGUUGGGGGUUUUUUAUGUCUCUUUUGCCUAUAUAGACAGAUCUGGUAGUGUUCAUAGCCCUGCACUCCAUCUGAGAUGGUGAUUUAUGGCAGUCUCUGCUCUAUUGAUUGGUCUUCCAAAGCUGAGGCUCCCGUCAGCUGCAAGGCUGUGGGAAGGCAUGCUGCGCUGGAGUUUGCUGUCUGCAAGCAGGACAAGCAACAUUCUUGAGGUUCCCAUGAGUGCCAUGCCCAUCAAGAAUAAUUUUGUAAUUUCGCAUCUUAAUUUUUACAGAAUCAAAUGCUAGUGACAAACUCAAUUGAAGAGACAUCAACUGUUUCAUUUCAUUGCUUAUCAGCUUUGCUUACAUUUUAACUCUGAUGGUACUUUGGAUUAAAUUUCUGCAUCCAUAAUCUGCUUUGUUAUGCACAGAAAAUAUCAAAUUACAUUUACUCUACUAAUUCCUGUAGCACUCAUGCACUUAUAUAUACCUUCCAUAUUCUCUUUCUUUUUAUAUUUGCCAUUUCAGUUUAAUGCUCUUCAUUGCAAAUUUUCACACUUACCUCUUUGUCCUUUUCUUCUAUAAUACCUUUAUUAAAUUAAAUCUUUUUAUAAAAAAAUACUUCCAUUUUUUAAUAUUAUUGCUUCUUCUCUAUCACAAUUUAGAUUUAACAUUUCAUUGAGCAGACAGUUUUAAUUUUCCAUUUCUCCAACAGUUCUUUCAUUAGACUAUUUCUUAAGUAUUUCAUUUUAUUUUUCUCUUCUGUAAUUUGCUUUCAACCAGCCUAAUGGACUUGUCUCUUUUGUAAUUUGCUUUUAUUCCCUGUUACUGUUCUUCUGACUUCUCUUUGUUGCUUCGCGCUGACAAGUGUUCUUCCUCAUCCCUUGUGAGUGACAGUGACAGCAUUUGAGUGGUAGCUGGCAGAUUUAGGAACAGUGACGACCUCCUAAUGGAACUGAUGGACAACACUCUCUGAAACAUGAACUCUGCUCACACUGCUCAAUCUUGCUACAGGUCUCAGCUCAAAUCACCUUGACUCAAGCCCAGGGCCAGGCCACUUGCAGACCAGAAAUAUGAAAAUAUCCUUGGCCCACCAGAGACAUGCUUGCACUGGCUCUCUUCACAGUGUGCCUGCAACACCCUGUCUCAACAUCCCAUCUCCACUGUGUGAGAGCACAGCAGACACUCCCAGCCAGCCAGCUGAGCUCAGCUGCCUGAGGUUUUUGAAUUCCUGGACAGUUUCUGUGCAAUUACUUAUUUGUUCAUCUUAAACCUAAGCAAUUGUGGGUUAUAUAAAGACUCUUCUACCUAGUACCAUCUUUUGGUUCAAUUAGCACCAACAUGGAGCCCUCCGACUGCUCAAAUCUGCACCACCUCGAAGAACAACUCUCCACAACUCAUCUCAGAAGGUACAGCAAGGUUUCUGUCAUGCAAACCUGCAUUAUUUUUCUCAGAAAAUGUCUGUCUCUCUCAGCAUAGGCUGAACCUUCUGAUUCUUGCAGGUGACACCAUCUGCAGCUGUUCUAAAAAAGUUUAUGAGGCAGAAUUCCCACUGAACAGUCUUUGCUUUCUUAUGUUAUCUCCUUCAGCUAUCUCCUGAGUCAAAUCCUGUACAUAAGGCUUGUUUUCACUAAUUCAGAUCUUCAACAAUAUGCAUUUCUUCAAGCAGACAAAGAGAAUAGAUAAAAUAUUGCUACAAAGGAAAGGCGAGCUAUAGGAGGAAGGAUGAUGGGGAUUGAGCAACGUACAGUUAAAAGCAGUAAGGCUCAUGAAAAGUGUAUAGCUCAUGCUGUCAAAUGAACUUGAAAGAUUAUACAGAAAGAGAAAUUACAAAGAAAGCAUCUUAACAUGAAGUAUGAGAUAGGUGAACUGUAGGACUGUGCAAUGGAUCCAUUUCACAAGGCCACUCUAAUAAAAAGCAAGAUCCUGGUCAGAAUUACUCUGAAGUAUCUAUCCAAAACAGUUUGUACACUAUUAAAUGUGCUAGCUGGAAUUUAAAUUCAAAGCCUACAUCUCUUUCACAGUUACUAUGGAAGCGCCUACCCUCUGUAUAUUUCAGAUCUACAGUCUUAGACUUGGCCUUCUUUGCAUAUUAGAUUAUAACAAAAUGUUGUCACUUCCCAAAAAUAUCUCUAAAGACUGACCUUUCCCUCCUUUCAUACAUCAAGAAAUCUCAUCAAGUGGCUGUGUCAACUUGCCCCUCACAGCCACUGGACAUGGUUUACUAGGGGGUGCUUCUUCAUUCUGAGUACCCCUGAGGUGGGAUGUUCUGGUGGGAAGAAGGCCAUACCUUCUUUUUAGAUUUAUUCUCUCCUCUGUGUUGGGUGCAAACUUAGCUUCUCCACUAAUAUUCUUUAUGACUUUUCUGUAUUCUUGUGGAAAACAGAGUUUUCAACUAAAGCUUCAAUCUGCCAGCAGUACCAUCCCUCACUGCUCAGGUGUCCCUUUCUUGUUACACACCAGCAGUUGAGAGGAGACUGCUCCAUGCUCCCAAGGCCCAGGAUGGUGAUACCUCAGAGAACAUUGGGGAUACUCUCACUUGGGCCACUCCAUAGAUUCCAUUUUAUAAAGCUAGACAGAGCCCAACUAAGAUCAGUCUGCUGCUGAUUUCUACAUAAGGUUAUAUUUUCUCGGCUGAUAAUGGUCAAAAAUGUUAGUGACCUAUUGGCUGUCAUUAGCCAAGACAAAACUAAUUUGCAGCUUAUUUUUAUCUAACAAAUGAAUAUAUAUCCAUAAACCCACCACCACAGAAUGGAGGUGACCCUUCAUGGCAGAUGUACAGGACAACAUCCUUUAUGUGCACAUUUAAUAAGGCUCUCAUGAAAAGACCUUCCUCUGCUGAACGUGAUAGCUGUGAAUAACUGAUACCAUGCAGUUCUGUGGAGUAACAAAGGACUCUGGGGCUGUCUGCAUCAUUUGUCACAAACUUUGGACAUACAUAAACAAAAAUUAAUUUCACAUACCUAUAAUUGUAUCUGUUCACAUUACAAUUGCAUCUGUCCCUGGGUUACACAUCAAAGAAAGUGUCUUUGCUGAGGAUAGGACCAUACAAUUCUAUAAGACGUAACCUAACAUCUUUUCCAUUAUGGUGCAAACCAGACUUCAUAACAUUGAUUGUUCUAACAUUUUCAAAGACUACCAAAUGUUUUUUUAAGCAACAGACCAAGGAAAAGAGAACUUGGUUAUUCUUAUCUAGAAAAAAGCAAAAAAUUGCAAAUUGUUUGGAAACAGUAGACCUAAAAAUUCACUGGAAGUUAGUAAAAGGAAACAUAGAAGCUAUUAUAUUUCUAUAUCCCCAAUGGCUAUUUACAGGAGAAAUAUCUAAACACUUAAGAGCAUAUAUAAACCUUUAUGAAACAGGUAGCUCUUUGUAGGAGUACACAGGACAUAGUAAAGGGAGUUAGAUAACACGUUACUGAAAAUAGACCAGAGCUAAAUAUGCCGGCUCUGCUCACUUUCCAAACUUUUUUUUUUUAAAUGCUGACCAAGCUCAGCUAGGCAAGACCUGCUUAGUGCAGUCAUUUUCACAUUCGCACUGAACAUAUCAGCUCUGACAAUAUAUUUUUUUAAUCUCAACAGCAGAAAGUAAUACAUAAUUGCCUCUAACUCAGCCAAGAAAAAAAAAAAAAUCAAACUUAAGAAAUUAAAAACACAGAUGCAGUAUUAUACAAAAUUGAACCAAAUUUUACAAUGGUCUGAUGUUUCUGAUAUUUUUAUCUUAACACAUCAAGGGUGAUAGAAGCUUCUUUUUGCUGUCAAAGUGAUCAAAGAGAGGUUGAGAAGGAAUCUAUAAACAGAUGCUGCCCAGUGACAAACCUUAAAGAACAAGACUGUGGGGCCAGAUGUUUGAGUGACCUUCGGACUACAGAACAUGUUGGCAUGGUGUUGAUUUAGAUAGCUGUUGGCAGGGGCUUUCGAUCCAGCAGCUGAAAAAAAAAUCUAAAUUAUGGAAAUAUUUUUUUCUCAUCUUUCCCCUAACUAUAAAAACUGAAACUACUGGUCAGUGGGGCUGAUGCCUGUCAAAGAAGUUGAAUUCACCACACAACCCUGCCAGUAGGUAUCACAUCAAAAAGGAGUUAGCUGAAUGAACAAGAACAUCUUCAGGCUGUGCCAUUUUGCAUCCCCCUCAACUUUCAACAGCUGUUUCUUGAGUGAAUACAGAUGCAGAAUAAUUAUAUGAAAUGUUUUACAUUUUCAAUAUACUACAUCAUGUAAAUAUGUAAUCUAUGAUUACCUAUGGGUGAUAUAAUAUAAACCACCAUUAAGAAAGGGUUUGGGAUGUGGAACAGGAAAUAGAAUAAUUAAUCAAUAAUGAUGAUUUUCCUAAAUUAUGUUCUUCAUACAUGCUAUAUUUGUAGAAUUAAAAUGACAUUGCUAAAAAAUCCCCCCAAACCACAACAAAGUAACAACAACAAAUGCAGUGAUAAUUGAUCACAUACAUUUUUUGUCAAAUACUAGAAGACACUGGAAAUUAUUAUUACAUGUAACUUCAGCUGUGCUGCAAUUUUCUAGAUCUGUCUCAGCAAGCGCUUCCAUUUUUUAAUCCGAUUGAAGAAAUUAGUCAUGUACUAGGAAAUACAAAAGGAAAAGAGAAAAUCAUCAAUCCAAAAUUCCAGCACUCAAGUCUGAGCCACUGCACAUCACUAGAACAAAUGGAGAAAGCAGAAAAAGUCUUGCUUUGUAACAUUAAAUGUGAUUGAAGACUGUACAGUUCUUCUUACGCUUUUAGACGUUUUGUCACUUUACCUGGAGAAAUAUACACUGCUUAUUCUGAAUUGCUGCUGAUGUCCAGCACUUGUCAAAACCGCUAUCUGUCAAGCACUUCACAAAGUGUUGCAAAAUGACAGAUCAGGAUGUCUGAAUAGAUGGAGCCCCAGGAAAAACAGAACAGAUAGAAAAUUCAUGACUCUAAACUACAUCAAAGCGACUUCUGUCAACAUCAUGUCAAAAGAAGGAAAAAAAGAACUGUUCAUUUUAGAGGGUUUUUUUCAUUAUAUAAACACUUUUUUCACGUAUGAGCUAAGUGUAAGGAAAAAUUAACUUGGUGUACAGUAUGAUCAUUUGAAUGUGCCAAAAAUACUCUUUAAAUAAUCCAGGAAUAAGGAAACUUCUAACAGUAGAUACUGUCUGGCAGUUAAAACCAAUGACAUCCAAAAGAAAUGUAUGAAGAAUCUAUCAGCUUAAAAUAGGACAAACCAUCUGGCUCCAAAGAAAUAAAAGUAUUCUGCUAUGCAUGUUUGUUGGGUUCACAGAAUCCUACAACUGGAUUAAUUUUGUAUUUCCUCUCCAAUCACUUGUGAUCAUCUCUACUUAGUCUGUCAAUUGUACAACCCCAAUUCACUGUUAUAUUGCAGGCAGCAGAUUUAGCAAUAUCAAGACAAUACUGUAAUUUAAAAAAGGAGCACCAUCAGCAUAAUCAGAUCUCUCAUUAUAGAAAAAUAUUUUAAAUCAUUCCUCAAAGGUUCCAGAAAAUAAGCAGGUUAUGAUACAUGACUAUAUACAUUUAAAUUAUGCAUAAUCAAAUUUUGAGAAUCACACGCAGAAUAUUAGGAGUACUGCAGAGCUAGAGAUGCUUUCUGUCUCACAUACCUUUCACCAUAGGCCCUUGCCAUCAGUACUAACUUCAGUGAAGGUUACUAACUAUUGACCUCGAGAAAUCAAGAGGCUAAAUGACCCUGUACAAUAGGCUCGGUGGCUUUUAGAGCACUGGGAAAUACAAAGAACAUACACUCAUCAACUUGAGAAAUGGAAAGUGGUGCUUCGUGCAUGAUCAAGUGAGCAUUAGCAAAGUACAGAACUUGCAGCAAGUUUGGAAAUCUGCAUUGUCCUCCUUUACUGUCUCAGUUUCAUCUUUGCUUGCAAGUUUGGUUUGUGGAAACGCAUGGAAUGGGAUGGAUUGGAAGGGACGUUUCAAAGGCUGUCUGGUCCAAGCCUCCAUCCCAGGCAGGGACAUCAUUCUUCCAUCCACUUUUUCAAAGGACCUAUAAAGCUACUGCUGGCUCUGACAUGAGUGACAGCUGAUCCAGAAAUUGAAACUUGCUCAUUGACACAAAUAUGCUCCAAUUUUCCUUGGAGAAGAUGCCCUUUAACCACUGGCCAGCGAAGUUUUGCUAGCUUCAAAACAUUUGCAAGAUAUAAAUGAGCAUGAAGAGGAAUAGCACCUUCUGGUUCAGGAAGGUGCUUUAGGACAUCUUGUUGAAUGUGUACAUGGCUGGGAAUUGCGAUCUAUUAACACUGGAGUACAGUGGAAAGCACGUCUGCUGCUUACUGUAUGCAGAACUCAAUACAUCUUGCUUCCUACUUACAAAAAGAUGUUUAUUACCUGUAACUGUACAGAGGUGUGUGCUUCACAGCAGCAGUGAUUGGUAAUAAGCCUCCUUUUCUCAUUUACAUUGAUAGCAAGCAUUAGUGAAGAUAUAUGCAUUUCAUUUCAUGGUUCAGAAAGAACAAAGUAUAUGUAUAUGUGAUAGCAGUGGGUGGUUAAUGAAAUGGUCUGACAAACAUAAGCUAAUACAUAAUCAUACCAGAAUGUGGACUGCAACACCUGUUCCUGCUUCACAGGCUUACAAUUCUUAAAGAAAAGUUACUAUUUUCAAGAACUGAAAUCACUACUAUUUAGACAUCAAUAUGCUCCGAGGAAAUUUUAGUCAUUUUUUUGCAAACACUAAAGGGGGGAAUUUUAAUGAUAUCAAAUCUCUUUUGCUUGUGUCCUAAGAGUAAUGAAAACUUCACACAUGCAUGAAGCUCCAGUAAUUAUUUUAAACUGCCUUCUGUUGUCCCCCUGAGGAACACGGUGGUAUUUGUUUGAUGCAGUUUAAUUAGUGUCAGGGUAAUUAAUGCUAUGCUAUCUACAUGAGAUCAAACCCCUUUCUUUGUAACACUCUGGUAACUAAGAACUAAGAAAAGGAAGUGGUUUGAAAAUGUGGAAGUUUGGUAGGCUAGAUUCAGAAACAAAUCAAAUUGCUCAAAUCUGCAUUUAUGUACCCAAAAUAUUAAACACAUCCAGCCAAGUCAGAACUUACAAGUGUGAGAGUAGGAUCAUAAUGCAUUAGAAUGGUGCUGUAAGACAGGAGACCCACUGCUACCCAUGUAAGUGAAAUGCUUUUUCUAUGGAUGUAAUCAAAUUAAGUGAAACAUUCAUGGACACCAUGCACCUUGUAAGGAGUUUAAAUCCUUUAAUAAUGAAAUUAUAUACUUUUGCACAACCAGAUCACCAUAGUUAUUUAUAAGCAGCAUGUGGUGCUACCAUGUGCUGAUAUAUUUUCCUAAAUAAAAGCAUCAUUUGAGUUUAA